Molecule: unclassified non-coding RNA, 348 nt
Filed under: soil metagenome
Description: partial contains 5.8S ribosomal RNA, internal transcribed spacer 2, and large subunit ribosomal RNA
Rfam family: 5.8S ribosomal RNA (bases 1-120)
Source: RNAcentral
GAUGAGGAACGCAGCGAAAUGCGAUAAGUAAUGUGAAUUGCAGAAUUCAGUGAAUCAUCGAAUCUUUGAACGCACAUUGCGCCCGCCAGUAUUCUGGCGGGCAUGCCUGUCUGAGCGUCAUUUCAACCCUCAUGCCCCUAGGGCGUGGUGUUGGGGAUCGGCCAAAGCCCGCGAGGGACGGCCGGCCCCUAAAUCUAGUGGCGGACCCGUCGUGGCCUCCUCUGCGAAGUAGUGAUAUUCCGCAUCGGAGAGCGAUGAGCCCCUGCCGUUAAACCCCCAACUUUCCAAGGUUGACCUCAGAUCAGGUAGGAAUACCCGCUGAACUUAAGCAUAUCAAUAAGCGGAGGA